This 914-nucleotide ribosomal RNA is filed under the name Katamysis warpachowskyi. RNAcentral describes it as "bacterial SSU rRNA". It matches the Rfam family "Eukaryotic small subunit ribosomal RNA", at positions 31 to 941 of the family's 1831-position model. The record is from RNAcentral. Lineage: Eukaryota; Metazoa; Arthropoda; Malacostraca; Mysida; Mysidae.
CUUGUCUCAAAGAUUAAGCCAUGCAUGUCUAAGUACAGACCGAUUUAUACGGUGAAACCGCGAAUGGCUCAUUAAAUCAGUUAUGGUUCAUUGGAUCUUACACGAGUUACUUGGAUAACUGUGGUAAUUCUAGAGCUAAUACAUGCAUCUAAGCUCCGACCGGAAGGGAAGAGUGCUUUUAUUAGAUCAGAACCAAUCGGGUUUCGGCCCGUAUUUGUUGUGAUGACUCUGAAUAACUUUGUGCUGAGCGCAUGGUCUUUGCACCAGCGCCGCAUCUUUCAAGUGUCUGCCUUAUCAGCUUUCGAUUGUAGAUUAUGUGCCUACAAUGGCUAUAACGGGUAACGGGGAAUCAGGGUUCGAUUCCGGAGAGGGAGCCUGAGAAACGGCUACCACAUCUAAGGAAGGCAGCAGGCACGCAAAUUACCCACUCCCAGCCCGGGGAGGUAGUGACGAAAAAUAACGAUGCGUGUCUCAACUGAGGCUACGCAAUCGGAAUGAGUUCACUUUAAAUCCUUGUACAAGGAUCAAUUGGAGGGCAAGUCUGGUGCCAGCAGCCGCGGUAACUCCAGCUCCAAUAGCGUAUAUUAAAGUUGUUGCGGUUAAAAAGCUCGUAGCUGAAUCUUAGUUCUGGACCGAUGGUGCGCCUCUGGCGAUUACUGUUGGUCUGAACAGCUCGUCGGCUUGCAUGCGAUGCUCUUUAUUGAGUGUUGUACGUAGCCGACAAUGUUACUUUGAGAAAAUUAGAGUGCUCAAAGCAGGCUUGUGCCUGAAUAAUGGUGCAUGGAAUAAUGGAAUAGGACCUCGGUUCUAUCUUGUUGGUUUAUGGAACCUGAGGUAAUGAUUAAUAGAGACGGACGGGGGCAUUCGUAUUGCGACGCUAGAGGUGAAAUUCUAUGACCGUCGCAAGACGUACU